Molecule: ribosomal RNA, 253 nt
Filed under: uncultured bacterium
Lineage: Bacteria
Description: partial 16S ribosomal RNA
Rfam family: Bacterial small subunit ribosomal RNA
Source: RNAcentral
UACGGAGGGUGCAAGCAUUAAUCGGAUUUAUUGGGCGUAAAGGGCGCGUAGGCGGAAAUGUAAGUCGGAUGUGAAAUCCCGAGGCUCAACCUCGGAACUGCAUUUGAUACUACAUUCCUUGAGGAUAGUAGGAGAAAACGGAAUUCCACAAGUAGCGGUGAAAUGCGUAGAUAUGUGGAGGAACACCGGUGGCGAAGGCGGUUUUCUAUAUUAUUCCUGACGCUGAGGCGCGAAAGCAAGGGGAGCAAACAGG